This 204-nucleotide ribosomal RNA is filed under the name uncultured bacterium. Its description in RNAcentral is "partial 16S ribosomal RNA". It matches the Rfam family "Bacterial small subunit ribosomal RNA", at positions 1298 to 1500 of the family's 1533-position model. The record is from RNAcentral.
UUGCAGGCUGCAACUCGCCUGUAUGAAGUCGGAAUUGCUAGUAAUCGUGGAUCAGCAUGCCACGGUGAAUACGUUCCCGGGCCUUGUACACACCGCCCGUCACACCAUGAGAGCCGGGAACACCCGAAGUCCGUAGUCCAACCUAUAUGGAGGACGCGGCCGAAGGUGGGUUUGGUAAUUGGGGUGAAGUCGUAACAAGGUAAC